AACGAACGCUGGCGGCAGGCUUAACACAUGCAAGUCGAGCGAGACCUUCGGGUCUAGCGGCGGACGGGUGAGUAACGCGUGGGAACGUGCCCUUCUCUACGGAAUAGCCCCGGGAAACUGGUAGUAAUACCGUAUACGCCCUUUGGGGGAAAGAUUUAUCGGAGAAGGAUCGGCCCGCGUUGGAUUAGGUAGUUGGUGGGGUAAUGGCCCACCAAGCCGUCGAUCCAUAGCUGGUUUGAGAGGAUGAUCAGCCACACUGGGACUGAGACACGGCCCAGACUCCUACGGGAGGGAGCAGUGGGGAAUCUUAGACAAGGGGGGCAAGCCUGAACGAGCCAUGCCGCGUGAGUGAUGAAGGCCUUAGGGUUGUAAAGCUCUUUCAGCUGGGAAGAUAAUGACGGUACCAGAAGAAGAAGCCCCGGCUAACUCCGUG
RNAcentral lists this ribosomal RNA (433 nucleotides) under uncultured bacterium. RNAcentral describes it as "partial 16S ribosomal RNA". It matches the Rfam family "Bacterial small subunit ribosomal RNA", at positions 29 to 507 of the family's 1533-position model. The record is from RNAcentral.